GGCAGCGGCAGCCCGGGCUCUCGGAUGCGCGCAGGGCUACCUUUCCCCCGUUUGUUUUUUUUUCCUUUCUCAGCAGCCCGCCCUGCUGCCGGGCCAAGGAGAGCGGCCGCCCCGAUGCCCGAAGGUGCCGGGUGCUGCCGGCCGCUCGCCUGGGGGGACAGCGGCGCGCCCCGCUGUCCCCGCACACACCGGGGACGGCUCCGCUGGUUCCUCACAGGGAAGAAGCCCCCAGCCCCUGGACAGGUCUGUCCGCGGCCACAAGGUUAUAAAUGUUGGCGAAAUUUCAGCUCAUUCAAAAUCGGCAGCAGAGCUCUGUUUUCAGUGGGACAAGGGGCUGAGUAAAAGGAUGUGAUUGAAAAGGAAGCUGGGAAGGCAGAAGCAGAUUGUUCUUCCUGCAUUGAGACACAUGGAUAGACUCAUCCUAUACACAACUGACAGGGGAUAGAGGCUGGGGAAACAGCUGAUUGUGAGUUUAUCUGAAAUUUAACAGAGUUGUCUUUAGAGGCAGAGGGCCCAGAACGUGUUCUGGCAAAGGAAAAGGAAAAGACUUAAAUUCUUAGAGUGUGGAUACAUUGGGUUAGAAGAUGAACAUGAGAAGUCUGAGAAACAGGCAUGGCACUACCUCAUGGAAAAAUAAGAGGCAAGGACCACUGGCUUGAACAAGUACGUGACAAUUCUUAGGAUGCCUGUGCUGAAAGACUUCUCUUAAUGGACCCUCGUUGGGUUUGGUUUCAUUGGUUCCAGAAUGGGAUUGCCCUUCUUGCUGUUGCUGCAGGCUCAUGAUCUGGAUCCAACCCCAGGACUCAAGCAGGACUGAAGGACACAUGGGAUGCUGAUUUGCUCUCCCCGAGGUGCUGCAAGCUGGUUCACUGCCUGCUGGAGGGUGGCUCUAAGACCUGAUUUAACCUGAAGCAUGCACUUCCUCAGGAGGUCUGCAGCAGGGCUGGAAGACUGCAAGCACUGCUUCCCUUCCCUCCUGUCACCUGCUGCCUCACAACUGCAGUGCCUGUGCUGUGCUCUCAGCUCCCUCACCCUGAAAUGUUCCUUGUGGUGGUUUGUAUGAAGCUGCCUUGGAGCAGGCUUUGCUUUUGGUAGCAGUAUCCCUUCUUGCCAUGCCAUUCAUGAAGAAGAUGGCUUUAUCCUUGCCUUUAUUCCACUGGGACCAGCUGCUCUACCCACAGGCACCAAAAGUGGCAAAUCUUCCAUAAGCUUUUUUAAUUUUCAAUUUAAACUCUACAUCACAUGAACUUCUUGGGGUUUUUUGAGAGGUAAAGACCUUUUUUUCUUUUUUUUUUUUAGAAACAACACCCAAAAUAAAAACCCAAACACCACAGCCCAACAAACUCAAAACUAACAGAAAAAAAAUCAAAACCCACACAUUGAACCCAAGUUGGAGAAAUAACUGCACUGUGUGACUGAUACAAUCCAUGGGAGUACAAAGCAUUCCAAUCUGAUCUUGCACAUCCACUCCCUGUACCUAUUAAUAGCUUUUAGACGUGAGCAUAUAUGUGGAGAUGUGCAAGAGUAGUUUGCCAUGCAAACAUUUGUCUGGCAGCCAUACUGUUUUCUAGUUUUCUUCACACUAAAGAUUUUAGUGUGCUAAAGGGGACAUUUUAAAGCAUUGUUGGAGAUAGGGGGGAUGUAAGUGCCCUUAAACUGAGGUUGGAUUAGGUGUUCUAACAUCUUGGAGUCUGCCAGUUAAUAGCAAAGUAUAUGAGCAAUGGAAAUAUGUCCUUCUUAAUCUCUAAAAAGAAAAGGACUGUUUUGAAAAUCCAUCAGUCUUUCAAAUCAUCUUAAGGCAAUUGAUCCUCUAUCAUCACAGGGGAAUUCAACAGGGGUGUUCUUGUUAGUGAUCUAAAAAUAUAAAUGUUGUUGAAUACAUGCAAAAUUGUAUCUUAUUCUAGUUGUCUUUAUUACUGCAAUAAAUGAUACCAACUCUCUCUUC
Motacilla alba alba is the source of this 1945-nucleotide long non-coding RNA. RefSeq lists it as uncharacterized. The record is from RefSeq and is a predicted model, not a curated record. The transcript has 6 exons. Lineage: Eukaryota; Metazoa; Chordata; Aves; Passeriformes; Motacillidae.